GCCUGGCUGGCUCAGUUGGUAGAGCAUGUGACUCUGUAUCUCAAGGUUGUGAGUUUGAGUUCCAUGUUGGGCU
Molecule: transfer RNA, 73 nt
Filed under: Canis lupus familiaris (dog)
Lineage: Eukaryota; Metazoa; Chordata; Mammalia; Carnivora; Canidae
Also listed under: 1 other name
Rfam family: tRNA
About the family: Transfer RNA (tRNA) molecules are approximately 80 nucleotides in length. Their secondary structure includes four short double-helical elements and three loops (D, anti-codon, and T loops).
Source: Rfam by way of RNAcentral